This 500-nucleotide ribosomal RNA is filed under the name uncultured bacterium. RNAcentral describes it as "partial 16S ribosomal RNA". It matches the Rfam family "Bacterial small subunit ribosomal RNA", at positions 30 to 523 of the family's 1533-position model. The record is from RNAcentral.
AUUGAACGCUGGCGGCAUGCCUUACACAUGCAAGUCGAACGGCAGCACGGAGCUUGCUCUGGUGGCGAGCGGCGAACGGGUGAGUAAUAUAUCGGAACGUACCCAAGAGUGGGGGAUAACGUAGCGAAAGUUACGCUAAUACCGCAUACGAUCUAAGGAUGAAAGUGGGGGCUCGCAAGACCUCAUGCUCCUGGAGCGGCCGAUAUCUGAUUAGCUAGUUGGUGAGGUAAAGGCUCACCAAGGCAUCGAUCAGUAGCUGGUCUGAGAGGACGACCAGCCACACUGGAACUGAGACACGGUCCAGACUCCUACGGGAGGCAGCAGUGGGGAAUUUUGGACAAUGGGGGCAACCCUGAUCCAGCAAUGCCGCGUGAGUGAAGAAGGCCUUCGGGUUGUAAAGCUCUUUUGUCAGGGAAGAAACGGUGAAGGCUAAUAUCCUUUGCUAAUGACGGUACCUGAAGAAUAAGCACCGGCUAACUACGUGCCAGCAGCCGCAGUAA